GUAGGGAAUCUUCCGCAAUGGACGCAAGUCUGACGGAGCAACGCCGCGUGAGUGAUGAAGGUUUUCGGAUCGUAAAGCUCUGUUGCCCUGGACGAAGAGCAUGAGGAGUAACUGCCUUGUGUGUGACGGUACAGGAGAAGAAAGCCCCGGCUAACUACGUGCCAGCAGCCGCGGUAAUACGUAGGGGGCAAGCGUUGUCCGGAAUUAUUGGGCGUAAAGCGCGCGCAGGCGGUUUUUUAAGUUCGGUGUUUAAGCCCGGGGCUCAACCCCGGUACGCAUCGGAAACUGGAAGACUGGAGUGUAGGAGAGGGAAGUGGAAUUCCACGUGUAGCGGUGAAAUGCGUAGAGAUGUGGAGGAACACCAGUGGCGAAGGCGACUUUCUGGCCUAUAACUGACGCUGAGGCGCGAAAGCGUGGGGAGCAAACAGGAUUAGAAACCCUUGUAGUCC
Molecule: ribosomal RNA, 449 nt
Filed under: uncultured bacterium
Lineage: Bacteria
Description: bacterial SSU rRNA
Rfam family: Bacterial small subunit ribosomal RNA
Source: RNAcentral